AGCGAACGUUAGCGGCGGGCCUAACACAUGCAAGUCGAACGAGAAUGAGGGCUUCGGCUCUCUAGUAAAGUGGCGGACGGGUGCGUAACACGUGGGGAAUCUACCUUCCAGCGGGGGACAACCGUCCGAAAGGAUGGCUAAUACCGCGUACGUCGGCGAGGGCUCCGGUCCUUGUCGGGAAAGGCGGCCUCUUCUUGAAAGCUGCCACUGGGAUAUGCACCCGCGGCCCAUCAGCUAGUUGGUGAGGUAAUGGCUCACCAAGGCUAAGACGGGUAGCUGGUCUGAGAGGAUGAUCAGCCACACUGGGACUGCGACACGGCCCAGACUCCUACGGGAGGCAGCAGUGGGGAAUAUUGGGCAAUGGGCGAAAGCCUGACCCAGCCACGCCGCGUGAGUGAUGAAGGCCUUCGGGUCGUAAAGCUCUGUGGGGAGGGACGAACAAGCCGUGAGCUAAUACCCACGGUCCUGACGGUACCUCCUUAGCAAGCACCGGCUAACCCUGUGCCAGCAGCCGCAGUAA
Molecule: ribosomal RNA, 520 nt
Filed under: uncultured bacterium
Lineage: Bacteria
Description: partial 16S ribosomal RNA
Rfam family: Bacterial small subunit ribosomal RNA
Source: RNAcentral